RNAcentral lists this non-coding RNA (26 nucleotides) under Sordaria macrospora. The record is from RNAcentral. Lineage: Eukaryota; Fungi; Ascomycota; Sordariomycetes; Sordariales; Sordariaceae. RNAcentral also lists the same sequence under 58 other names.
UUGGUGAACCAGCGGAGGGAUCAUUA